UCAGAGGUGACCACAUUUCUGCACCAACUGUGUUUGGAAUUGAGAUAUCUGCCUCAGGUGCUCUGAAUCAUCCUGCUGUGCCAGAGACUGCCUGGAAACAUGGCAGCACUCAAGCUGAGCAGUUCUUGUUGACAGUCUGAAUACUGCCUUUACUUGGUUACACAGUCUUAGCCAUUUUCUUUUGGUGUGUACCAAAGAAAUGAUGUUUCUGUGACAAAUAUCCCUCACCUUCCAUCAUCUGUUGAUCACAGCAGUCUGGAAUACAAGAAAGGAUGCUUUCAGCAAAAGACACCCAAAACAUACUCAAAGUGAUCAAGGCUUUAACAGUCACCUGACUGCGCAAGCAUCUGGAAGGCCCUAAACUCACCCCAGCAGACAGCCAUACAUGUCCUCCUGAUAAACAGAGUAGACAGAGAACACAAUGAAUGCAUUGAAUGCUGAGGUCAGAAGCAGUCUUAGAAAAGGCCAAGGACCUCUGCACUAGCCAACAGGCAGAACAACUUCCUGAAGCCACAAAUGAUUGUCCCAGCUCCCAGAUUAUAAUGCAGAGACUUCCAGCUGCAGGUCUAAAGGACUUGAAAGCCAAUGAAUAACCUUGGUCUUCAGGAAAAAUAGCUCCCCACACCACUUGUCAGGAAAUAAUCCUGGCUAUUUGUUAGCCUAAGUAACCGGUUUCCAUUUUUUGAGAAUAGAGUCAGAAAAAAAAGGAAGAGAUGAAGUGAGAGCGAGUUCUGAAGACCACUGGAUCUAGGAGGUACAGGGGCGCCCAGAGGUCUCUCUGCAGAGAGUGCUGCUGUUAAGGAGAUUGAAGAGCAUCAGCAAGAGCACCCCCUAAAGUGUGCAGAUGUUAAACUGAUUAAGAACAUGGCUUCUGGAAGUAAUGCCAAGUCUAACCAUGGUGAAUGGCCCCAAGAGGACUGGCGGGUUUGUGGGUUACGCCCUUUAGUGUUCAUUUGAUGCAGAGAAUGAGGGCACAGUGCUGGAAGGGGGUAUCUGAGGUUUUGUGUGUUUUGGAGAAAAAUUACAUGGAGUUAAGUAGUGAUGUCAUACUUUGUGCCCCCAAAACCCAGCAUGGCAGAGAUCUUGUUAAACCUCAGCAAGUACGUAAGCAGGUUGCUCAAGUACGUGUUGGUUACCUCACUUCAUCUAUGGGCGUUAUGCCAAACACUGAAUAAAUAACAUUUUACAC
Molecule: long non-coding RNA, 1189 nt
Filed under: Gallus gallus (chicken)
Lineage: Eukaryota; Metazoa; Chordata; Aves; Galliformes; Phasianidae
Description: lncRNA (ENSGALG00010016192.1)
Source: RNAcentral